UACGAAGGGGGCUAGCGUUGCUCGGAAUCACUGGGCGUAAAGGGUGCGUAGGCGGGUUUUUAAGUCAGAGGUGAAAUCCUGGAGCUCAACUCCGGAACUGCCUUUGAAACUGCAGUGCUAGAAUUCUGGAGAGGCGAGUGGAAUUCCGAGUGUAGAGGUGAAAUUCGUAGAUAUUCGGAAGAACACCAGUGGCGAAGGCGACUCGCUGGACAGACAUUGACGCUGAGGUGCGAAAGCGUGGGGAGCAAACAGG
This 253-nucleotide ribosomal RNA is filed under the name uncultured bacterium. Its description in RNAcentral is "partial 16S ribosomal RNA". It matches the Rfam family "Bacterial small subunit ribosomal RNA", at positions 524 to 776 of the family's 1533-position model. The record is from RNAcentral.